AUGAUGGCUGGCGAGGACGGUUACAGUUCCGAGGAGUUGAGCGAAGACGAGCAAGAGCAGGAGGCGGCUGCGGCGGCUCAGGCAUCCUUCCGCGAGAUCGUGGCUCAGGCUCGGGUUCGGCAGAGGAACAGGCUUGGUGCCAUACCCAAGCUUCGGGUGCAAGAUGAGGACGUCAUCUUCAUCCUGUCGCUGGAGAGGGAUGGCAUUGACUACCUCGACGGCGACGGCCGCCGGUACACGCCCGAGAGGGUCAAGGAUAAGGUUGACAUGAUCCUCAAGGACGACGAGGACUGCGAGAUCGAGGAGCGGCAGGCCUGGGUGAUGCGAGAGCUGAGCGACAAGGGCUACGCCGAGGCCGACAACUACCGCGUGGCCGACGACGGCGUGUACAGAGACGAGAUCAACGAGUGGACCAGGAUACAGGGGGAGAGAAUCCAGGCGGCCAGCGCGAGACGUCGUCUUGCUCGCAUGAGAGUCGCCGUCAAAGACGACCGCGAGGAAGACUACUACUCAGAGGAAGACGACGACGACGAGGAAGACGAAAUUGAGAAAGACACCAAUGCCUGUGGCAACACUGCCAUUUGGUAA
RNAcentral lists this ribosomal RNA (588 nucleotides) under Triticum aestivum (bread wheat). RNAcentral's name for it is "partial small subunit ribosomal RNA". Lineage: Eukaryota; Viridiplantae; Streptophyta; Magnoliopsida; Poales; Poaceae. The record is from RNAcentral.